This 531-nucleotide long non-coding RNA is filed under the name Numida meleagris (helmeted guineafowl). RNAcentral describes it as "lncRNA (ENSNMEG00000015756.1)". The record is from RNAcentral. Lineage: Eukaryota; Metazoa; Chordata; Aves; Galliformes; Numididae.
CUUUCCAUAUGGUUUCUAUCUUCUUCGAAUUUCAUUGCUCAAUGCUCAACAUUGCUACACUUCUGCAGAGCAAUAGAAGAAAUUUGCUGCUGCAUUGCCACUGGUGGUCUUUAAAACAAAAUCUUCUAACUGCAGAUAAAAUCUCAGCUGGACCAGCCCUCCAUUCCUGUCUGUACUCUGGGACAUGAAGCAGGUUGCAGCCUGAGCUUCUGUAUUCUCCCAGCUCACCCUGUCCUCACUUCAGCAGGCACUGGGGCUGCUUCAAACAGAACACAGAUUUGUCAUCUGUAUUUUUGGUAAGUGCUUAGCUUUUGAAUAUUUCAUUUGCCCUCUCUGAGCAAUACUUAUUCUGAUCCUUUCCUGCAUUUCAGAGGAUUAUUCUAGACUGGAUUCAAAACCUGGAAAUAAUGUACAUGCACAGCUGACAAGAUAUCGCUGGCUGGGAUAUGUACCACCCUUGAUAUGGGCAGACAGACUAAAAAACCUUCAGAACUCUGAUCACUAUUACAUUACUGAAUUAAAAUUGCUGAU